Molecule: long non-coding RNA, 834 nt
Filed under: Elaeis guineensis (African oil palm)
Lineage: Eukaryota; Viridiplantae; Streptophyta; Magnoliopsida; Arecales; Arecaceae
Description: long non-coding RNA (EGUI_LNC040212)
Source: RNAcentral
GGCCCACAACCACCAUCCUGCAAUUACAUUGAUCUAAACCUCUAAUUUAAAAUUGAUUAGAUAUUGACCCCUAAGGAUCUUUGAGCUCAGUAGGACAAGGAACCCUAAAAGUUGGAUCAGAUUCAGGUUAGUCAGUUUAACUGGUAUCUAGAAAAGUGGUUUAGAGAUUACGUCUUGAAGAAAGGUGGUUCAUUAAUUAGUUCCGUUCACUUACCUGACUAACUCAGUUAGUGUCUAAGAAAAAUAACAGGAGGAUCCCCACCAAGCUUAUACUUACUUGGCUAGUUGAGCUGCUAGUCUGCUAUUUGAAGUACUUGAAGGUGACCUUGGUAGUUAGGAGCUGUCCAGAUCUAAGAUAACCCAUAGUCAGAAUUGAUUGAACCACUUGAUUGUUAACUAAAAAUAUCAAAUCUAAUUAAUUUUUCUCUCUCUUCUUAGCCUUAUAACUCUUUAGGUUCUCUUCUUUAAAGCUCUUUUCUCUCUCCCUCCUUUUCUCCUCUUCUCUUUUAAACAAAAAAAAGAAAAAUUAUGGAAAUUAAACUUGAUGAGAUUUUUUGGAUGCAUGCUAGGAUGCCGAUCAUUACAACCUGAUUUACAUCCAUUAGACCUAGAGCUAGAAAGAAUGAUUCGAACAAACCAAAUCAAAACCAUGGAUCCAAAAUAAGAGACUGACCCACCAUGAUAAUUGAGAGAUAUUUUACUCCCUCAUCUUAUACCUACUCAACAUGUAUCCAGUCUCUUCCUGUAGAGGCAGCGUAAUUGAAAUCAAAUCCAGCAUUAUUCAAAUACUACCAUCAUUCUAUAGAUUGAUGAAUGAAAAUUCAUACAAACACU